RNAcentral lists this ribosomal RNA (204 nucleotides) under uncultured bacterium. Its description in RNAcentral is "partial 16S ribosomal RNA". It matches the Rfam family "Bacterial small subunit ribosomal RNA", at positions 1298 to 1500 of the family's 1533-position model. The record is from RNAcentral.
UUGUAGUCUGNAACCGACUACAUGAAGCUGGAAUCGCUAGUAAUCGCGGAUCAGAAUGCCGCGGUGAAUACGUUCCCGGGUCUUGUACACACCGCCCGUCACACCAUGGGAGGUCGGAAAUGCCCGAAGCCGGUGACUCAACCUUUAAGGAGAGAGCCGUCGAAGGCAGGUCUGAUAACUGGGGUGAAGUCGUAACAAGGUAGC